RNAcentral lists this ribosomal RNA (253 nucleotides) under uncultured bacterium. RNAcentral's name for it is "partial 16S ribosomal RNA". It matches the Rfam family "Bacterial small subunit ribosomal RNA", at positions 524 to 776 of the family's 1533-position model. The record is from RNAcentral.
UACGUAGGGUGCGAGCGUUAAUCGGAAUUACUGGGCGUAAAGUGUGCGCAGGUGGCCGCGCAAGUCGAGUGUGAAAUCCCCGAGCUUAACCUGGGAAUUGCGCUCGAAACUACUUGGCUCGAGUGUGGCAGAGGAAGGUGGAAUUCCAGGUGUAGCGGUGAAAUGCGUAGAGAUCUGGAGGAACACCGAUGGCGAAGGCAGCCUUCUGGGCCAACACUGACGCUCAUGCACGAAAGCGUGGGGAGCAAACAGG